CUCCUACGGGAGGCAGCAGUGAGGAAUAUUGGUCAAUGGGCGGAAGCCUGAACCAGCCAUCCCGCGUGAAGGAAGACAGCCUUACGGGUUGUAAACUUCUUUUCUGUCAGAAGAAUAAGCUUGUCGAGACGAGUGAUGCCGGUAUGACAGGAAUAAGCAUCGGCUAACUCCGUGCCAGCAGCCGCGGUAAUACGGAGGAUGCAAGCGUUAUCCGGAUUUAUUGGGUUUAAAGGGUGCGCAGGUUGUUUGAUAAGUCAGUGGUGAAAGUCUGUCGCUUAACGGUAGGAUUGCCAUUGAUACUGUUGGACUUGAAUAUGGAUGAGGUAGGCGGAAUGUGUAGUGUAGCGGUGAAAUGCAUAGAUAUUACACAGAACACCGAUUGCGAAGGCAGCUUACUAAUCCAUCAUUGACGCUGAGGCACGAAAGCGUGGGGAUCAAACAGGAU
Molecule: ribosomal RNA, 445 nt
Filed under: uncultured bacterium
Lineage: Bacteria
Description: bacterial SSU rRNA
Rfam family: Bacterial small subunit ribosomal RNA
Source: RNAcentral